UCACGUGUCGUUCAAGUAGAAAAAAGAGUGAUGGAUCAUACUUAGGUGGAGAGUCCACUGAGGUUCCGUCGAGGUUCCGAUCCGCGGUUCCCACUAUUACAUCAAAAUGAAAAAAAGAUUACAUACUCUCGAAAUCUAAGAGUUACAAAAUUCCUAUCUAAAUUCCAUCUAGAGUCUUGUCUUGAUUCUUGAUUUGCUUCUCCCAGUGACUUUGGAUUGAAACUUGAUGCUCUUGAUGCAGCAGACUACGACAUAUUCUUUCAUUCUUGUUUCUUGAUCCGACGAUGGGCAGAAAGAUCUUGACCAUAUGUCUCCGCAUGCAUUACACAAAAGCUGGUUGUAGCUUGUAUUGAGACCAAACGUUCC
This 366-nucleotide long non-coding RNA is filed under the name Nicotiana benthamiana. Its description in RNAcentral is "long non-coding RNA (NBEN_LNC027946)". The record is from RNAcentral. Lineage: Eukaryota; Viridiplantae; Streptophyta; Magnoliopsida; Solanales; Solanaceae.